GGCUGCAUAGUGUAGGGGUUAUCACGGAUCCCGGUUCGAUUCUGGGGACCCCGGUUCGAUUCCGGGUGCCGUCU
Molecule: non-coding RNA, 74 nt
Organism: Zopfochytrium polystomum
Lineage: Eukaryota; Fungi; Chytridiomycota; Chytridiomycetes; Chytridiales; Chytridiaceae
Source: the annotation of a GenBank genome assembly